Molecule: ribosomal RNA, 253 nt
Filed under: uncultured bacterium
Lineage: Bacteria
Description: partial 16S ribosomal RNA
Rfam family: Bacterial small subunit ribosomal RNA
Source: RNAcentral
GACAGAGGGUGCAAACGUUGUUCGGAAUUACUGGGCGUAAAGCGCGUGUAGGCGGCUCUGCAAGUCGGGUGUGAAAUCCCACGGCUCAACCAUGGAAGUGCACUCGAAACUGCAGGGCUAGAGUCCUGGAGAGGAAGGUGGAAUGCUUGGUGUAGAGGUGAAAUUCGUAGAUAUCAAGCGGAACACCGGUGGCGAAGGCGGCCUUCUGGACAGUGACUGACGCUGAGGUGCGAAAGCGUGGGGAGCAAACAGG